Drosophila subpulchrella is the source of this 594-nucleotide long non-coding RNA. RefSeq lists it as uncharacterized. The transcript has 3 exons. Lineage: Eukaryota; Metazoa; Arthropoda; Insecta; Diptera; Drosophilidae. The record is from RefSeq and is a predicted model, not a curated record.
UAUAUGGGACGUUCUGAAGAAUGUGGGAAUUUGUGAAAAUCAUAGUUUACUGAAUUGUUCAAUCAUCUUUAAGUUCAAAGGUAAACUUUAAAACGAAAUUUGUAUACAUUUUAGCUAUGUGUAAGUCGUAUGGCAAAAUUCCAGCUUAUGGUUACGUGAAGUUUUACGCAAUUUGGUGCAUAGUUAUUGGUGGAUUGCACAUUAUUCAUGCAACGUAUGCAAUAUUUUUCAAAUUUGAGAAAAAAAGGCAUUUUUUUAACAGCAUUGUGUUUACUAUUAUUCAUUUAAUUUUCUCUAUAACGUAUGUUUUUGCUGGGAUUGCCCUGCUGAUGGCAAUAUCUAAGGGUUCAAAGAUGCUUUUUAAGUUUGGAAAAGUUGUAUCCUAUUUCUUCCCAAUACUAAACAUAUACGCAAUAUUUCCAUCAGUGGUUCAUUGUGUGUGCAUACCGAAAAUAUGUGUAUUUAUUAAGGAAACUUGGAACUAAAGUUGCUGGACCUUAUAUGUUAUUACGGACUAUAGAUUACAGUAUUUCCCGGACUAGAAACGCCGAACCACCGUAUGGAGCUCUUCCGUCUUAUUUAAAAAAUUGUUUA